CCCGACCCCCUCCUCCUCCUCUCCUCCUCCUAUCGUCCUUCCUCACAACCCUAGCUGCCGCCCCCUCCUCCUCCCACCUCAGUCGCCUCCUAGGAGAGCUCGGCACGAUGGGGUGGCCGUGGAGCGCGCCUCGUCCGGAGACAAGGUGGAUCCCAUGCAGGGCAUCCGGCAGCGCUGGCUUCUCCUCUCCUACGCCACCGUUGCCCACCCCUCCUCAUCUCGUGCGGGCACGGAGGUGAGCUUCUCCAGCGGCGGCGGUGACCUGCAGUCAAAGGGCGACGGUGGCGGCGCUCGAUUUGAUCUAUAGGAGAGAGAGAAGAUGAGAGGGAGAGAGAGAAGGAAGGAGAGGAGGGAGAAAUAGAGAGGAAAGAGGAGAGGGAUGUGCGGCGGCGGCCGAGAGAGGGUCACCGGAAGGAACAGCUGAUCAUCGUUCAUACCGCGCUGGGCCAGAGAUGGCUCUGUACAGCCCACGCGUCCGUAGAGUACACAAGUGGUUGCCCAUGAAGUCUCCUCCUUGCCCGGCUUAUUCAUUAAGAUCAACAGGGGGAAGGUCCAGGGUGAGACCUUCAAGAUGGAUUUGAUGUUGCUAUUAUUUCAGUUUGCAGAUAGAGGAUGUUAUUCCAGCAAGACAGUGACGAUGGCGAUGACAAGUGAGAUUUAUGUUAAGGAGUAUUAGCAUAUGCUCACAGGAUCACUGGAAGCAUAUAAAGAUAUCCACAACGAUGGUUGCUUUCUUAUCGAUAAAGAAUUGAAUUAUAAUUAUAGACGGUGAAAAUUAGCAAGCAAGCUACAGUCGGUGCAUGGAUGACCAAGUUUACUUGUUACUUUAUGAAGAUGAUGAUUCCUAAAUAGAAUUACGAGCUAGGUCCUGCAUGUUGAUCGUGCUUCAAGGUACAGUUGUUCGUGCCUUAUAAAAUUGUAAUGCUUUUUAUUGGUUGUGCAUCCUAGGAACAAAAGCUUGAUUCAUAGAGAGCCGAAGAACUGGGGAAUUUUACUCUCUGUCAUUACAGGGUAGAAGAGAAUGGGGGAGGGGACGUGCGCUCCAUAUUUUGUUAUGCACACCUUCCUAAACUAUACUUUUCUUCUUAACAUAUGUUCAUUGUCUAGCAGAAGCUGUAGAUUUCAGCGUACAAUAAUUUCCAAAAUGGUAGAAGGUAAGAACCAUGUUACAUGAUCCUUUUGUGUUCUCUUGAUUUAAAGUAACACGUACCUGUUAAACUUGGUGAUGAUUUUCGAGGUGUAUUUAUAAGUUAUCUGCCAAGGUUAUUCCUUCAGGCAAUUUUUUUCUCUGAAGCCUAGGCAUAUUCAUUGUUUGGUUGGCUCUCUUUACUAGCAGGAAGAUAACUACUACGUGUUGCUUAGUUAUUAGCGGAUCGACUGUAUGAAUGAUCUUGUGUUCACCCAGAGUUAUAGGUUUCUAAAUACUAGGCUCUUGGGACUUAAUUACAAUGGUUAGUUUUGUUUGGAUUCAUCUACUCUGGUGCUACAGCCUAGGUAAAGCUCCUUCACAAUAGUAUUUAAAGCUUAUAUUGAUAACUCCAUCAGAGUUCAAGCAUUAGGCUCUCUGCUCUGUGUAUUGCCAGGUGUUCUAUAUAAUGCUUUGAUGUUCCUUUGUCACUGUUUGAUGUUCUGCCUUGGGUGGCCUUUGUCUUGGUUUACAACUCCAUAUGGCUACCUAUGUAUACGUAUGUAGGUUUUGUUUGAACUGUAGUCAAAUCGGGCAGAUGUUUCUAUAUUCUUGCCUUCCUCUUUAUAACUCAUGAGAUUGUUUGAUAGUUGAAUAUCAUUGGUCUCUAUCGGCAUUCUAUUUUCGUAGUUUGAAAUGAGUAUUGGUCCAUUGAUAUUAAACUUCACAAUAGGUAGUGGCAUCUUCAGGAAAAAGUAGUGGCAGAUAUGUUGGUGAUUUCUUUUCUGCUGCAGGAAUGACACUAUUCCCAAAUCCUCAACACAUAUUUUUUAGUAACUGAGAGGAUUAUUCACCUUUGCUGCUGUAGGCGUUCAAGACCUGGCAGGGCUGGGUCAACCGGCCCUUCGUGUUCAAGACCCGGCUCUGGUGAGCCUUGACAGCCGUGCUACCGGCUGGGCAUCUUCAUCCUGAGCCAUGUUCGGAACCAGACCAGUAGGGGCACCCUGAGCGAGCACUCGAGGCAUGCUGUCAAGUUGGACGAGUGCAACCAGGCCAGCUGCUGUGUGUGUCCACGGUUCAUACAGUCAAGGCGUUCGCUCAUCUUGGGCCAGAACGAGCACUACAAGGGGAACCGUUUUGUUACAUUGUUGUGUUGUUGGUGAAAGAUAAUGUUUUUCUUCUCGAAUUAUGAAACCUCAAACAACAGUAGGAUAUAACCGUUUUGUUCGUUUUGCAAUCAAAGCUCCUAUCGAAUAACAUUUUAGAAUUGUGCUCCGUCUUAUUCAUAAACUGUGGCUAUUUUGUAGAUUCAUACAAGAUACGGCUUUGUGUGCAUUGAAAUAGCAACAAGUUGGCCUCUUGGUCUUGUUUCUGUAUACAUUUGACUCAUACACGCAGCCAACAUGUCCAUGUGGUCUGGAUGAA
Molecule: non-coding RNA, 2551 nt
Organism: Aegilops tauschii subsp. strangulata
Lineage: Eukaryota; Viridiplantae; Streptophyta; Magnoliopsida; Poales; Poaceae
Source: RefSeq, a predicted model, not a curated record